ACUGCUAUCGGGGUGGGACUAAGACAUGCGAGUCGAGCGUCUCUAGCUAUGUUGAGACGCGGCAUACGGCUCAGUAACACGUGGCUAACCUACCCUCAGGACGGGGACAAACCCGGGAAACUGGGGCUAAUAUCCGAUAGGCGAGGAAUCCUGGAAUGGUUCUUCACCCAAAGGACAUUGGAAACAUGCUUUCUCUGUCGCCUGGGGAUGGGGCCGCGUCCGAUCAGGUUGUUGGUGAGGUAAUGGCUCACCAAGCCUUUAACCGGUACGGGCCGUGAGAGCGGUAGCCCGGAGAUGGGUACUGAGACAAGGACCCAGGCCCUACGGGGCGCAGCAGUCGCGAAAACUCCGCAAUGCACGAAAGUGUGACGGGGCUACCCCGAGUGCCGUCCGCUGAGGAUGGCUUUUCCUUGGUGUAACUAGCCGGGGGAAUAAGGAGAGGGCAAGACUGGUGUCAGCCGCCGCGGUAAUACCAGCUCUCCGAGUGGUAGGGAUGAUUAUUGGGCUUAAAGCGUCCGUAGCCGGUUUAGCAAGUUUCCUGUUAAAUUCAGCGACCUAAUCGUUGAGCCGCGGGAAAUACUACUAGGCUAGGAGGCGGGAGAGGUCGACGGUACUUCUGGGGUAGGGGUGAAAUCCUAUAAUCCCGGGAGGACCACCAGUGGCGAAGGCUGUCGACUAAAACGCGCUCGACGGUGAGGGACGAAAGCUGGGGGAGCGAACCGGAUUAGAUACCCGGGUAGUCCCAGCUGUAAACGAUGCGGGCUAGGUGUUGGGGUGGCUACGUGCCACUUCAGUGCCGCAGGGAAGCCAUUAAGCCCGCCGCCUGGGGAGUACGGCCGCAAGGCUGAAACGUAAAGGAAUUGGCGGGGGAGCACCACAAGGCGUGAAG
Molecule: ribosomal RNA, 889 nt
Filed under: uncultured archaeon
Lineage: Archaea
Description: bacterial SSU rRNA
Rfam family: Archaeal small subunit ribosomal RNA
Source: RNAcentral